CUGGGCGUAAAGCGCGUGUAGGCGGCCGGGUAAGUUGGACGUGAAAUCUCCUGGCUCAACUAGGAGAGGUCGUUCAAAACUGCCUGGCUAGAGGGCGACAGAGGGAGGUGGAAUUCCCGGUGUAGUGGUGAAAUGCGUAGAUAUCGGGAGGAACACCAGUGGCGAAGGCGGCCUCCUGGGUCGCCCCUGACGCUCAGACGCGAAAGCUAGGGGAGCAAACGGGAUUAGAUACCCCGGUAGUCCUAGCUGUAAACGAUGUGGACUUGGCGUUGGUGGGGUUAAAUCCAUCAGUGCCGUAGCUAACGCGAUAAGUCCACCGCCUGGGGACUACGGUCGCAAGAUUAAAACUCAAAGGAAUUGGCGGGGGCCCGCACAAGCAGCGGAGCGUGUGGUUUAAUUCGAUGCUACACGAAGAACCUUACCCGGGUUUGACAUCCAGGUGGUAGGGAACCGAAAGGUGACCGACCCUUCGGGGAGCCUGGACAGGUGCUGCAUGGCUGUCGUCAGCUCGUGUCGUGAGAUGU
RNAcentral lists this ribosomal RNA (524 nucleotides) under uncultured Thermomicrobia bacterium. RNAcentral's name for it is "bacterial SSU rRNA". It matches the Rfam family "Bacterial small subunit ribosomal RNA", at positions 554 to 1075 of the family's 1533-position model. Lineage: Bacteria; Pseudomonadati; Thermomicrobiota; Thermomicrobia. The record is from RNAcentral.